GAUGAACGCUGGCGGCGUGCCUAAUACAUGCAAGUCGAGCGAACGGACGAGAAGCUUGCUUCUCUGAUGUUAGCGGCGGACGGGUGAGUAACACGUGGAUAACCUACCUAUAAUACUGGUAUAACUUCGGGAAACCGGAGCUAAUACCGGAUGAUAUUUUGAACCGCAUGGUUCAAAAGUGAAAGACGGUCUUGCUGUCACGUAUAGAUGGAUCCGCGCUGCAUUAGCUAGUUGCUAAGUUAACGGGCUACCAAGGCAACGAUGCAUAGCCGACCUGAGAGGGUGAUCGGCCACACGGGAGCUGGGCCACGGUCAAGACUCCUAAGGGAGGCAGCAGUAGGGAAUCUUAGGCAAUGGGCGGAAGCCUGACGGAGCAACGCCGCGUGAGUGAUGAAGGUCUUCGGAUCGUAAAACUCUGUUAUUAGGGAAGAACAUAUGUGUACGUAAAUGUGCACAUAUUGACGGUACCUAAUAAGAAAGCCACGGCUAACUACGUG
Molecule: ribosomal RNA, 497 nt
Filed under: uncultured bacterium
Lineage: Bacteria
Description: partial 16S ribosomal RNA
Rfam family: Bacterial small subunit ribosomal RNA
Source: RNAcentral